This is a long non-coding RNA of Camelina sativa (false flax), 1004 nucleotides long. RefSeq lists it as uncharacterized. The record is from RefSeq and is a predicted model, not a curated record. Lineage: Eukaryota; Viridiplantae; Streptophyta; Magnoliopsida; Brassicales; Brassicaceae.
UGUUCUCAUAUCUUCUUCUUCUUUCCUUAGCAACAAAGUGCAGCUCUAUUAUUUAAGUCAGAGAAAGUAAAUCGGGUUAAAAUUCAUUUUAUGAUUUCAGUUUUGAGUAGAUUAGACAAAGAGAGUACCGAUUUCAUCACAUCCUAAUAGAUAAUUCUAAAUCUAUUCAAAAUUUGGAAUAGUUCCAAGAUUCUCAAAUAUGGAAAGAAAUUAAUUGAGGAUUGCUUUUCUGAUAAAGUGAGCGAAUGAUUUCUACAAUUCUGAGGUGAUGACCCUAUGAUGAUUCACCGAAUAUGAUGUCCUGCAAAUAUUAGAUUAUGGGAUAGAUAAAUGACUUCCAAAUCAUGUCAACAUAAAUAAUGUAUUCACAUCUAAAACCCAAGCUGCAAUUAGAAAGCUAAGUACAUUUUAACUUCACACUAAUAUGUCAUCAAUAAGUUAGUGUAUUCAUAAUUUUAAUGACUAUUGCUUAACUUUGCAGGUUACUUUUAUUUCUAUGCAAGAGAUAAUAUAAGUAUCAGUAAUAGUACAUCAAAUGGAAAGGAAAAGAUGGUGCAAGCUCAUAAAUGUAACAAACUACUUGUGCCAACAACAACUGUUUUCAGUUCUAUACAUAUUCAGAUGUAAACAAUUCAUCGAAUAGGAAAUCAAGUGCAAGAACAAAGAUGUUAAAGCGAUUGAGGGUUGCUUUCAACAUGAAAUCAUCGAUUGAUUUAGGCUUGUAGGCCAAUCAAGGGUAACUGAAAUUAUUUUAUGUUCAAGAGAAUCAACUGUAACGGGGUUAUAAGGUUGUUUUUCUUCCAAGUAGCUCUAAGUGUGGGUCGAUUCUUAUGGUUGUUAUGGCUCUUUCCACGCAAACCUCUGUUCUUCUUUACUUGUGAUGCGAGACCUCUAACCUCAUGAUGCUUGUGAACAUGGUUAUCCAGUUGAUUCUCAUUUCGUUACAGACUGCGUUAUGACCCGGAAAAGGAAAAUAAGGUGAGGGAAAAAAAUAGAAGUGUUAU